GACGAACGCUGGCGGCGUGCUUAACACAUGCAAGUCGAACGGUGAAGGGGUCUGCUUUUGUGGGCCCUGGAUGAGUGGCGAACGGGUGAGUAACACGUGAGUAACCUGCCCCCUUCUUCUGGAUAACCGCAUGAAAGUGUGGCUAAUACGGGAUAUUCUGGGUCUGUCGCAUGAUGGGUCUGGGAAAGAUUGCGCCUUUGGGUGUUUUUGGUGGGGGAUGGGCUCGCGGCCUAUCAGCUUGUUGGUGGGGUGAUGGCCUACCAAGGCGGUGACGGGUAGCCGGCCUGAGAGGGGGGACGGUCACACUGGGACUGAGACACGGCCCAGACUCCUACGGGAGGCAGCAGUGGGGAAUAUUGCACAAUGGGCGCAAGCCUGAUGCAGCGACGCCGCGUGGGGGAUGGAGGCCUUCGGGUUGUAAACCUCUUUCGCCAGUGAAGCAGGCCUGCUCCUUGUGGGUGGGUUGACGGUAGCUGGAGAAGAAGCGCCGGCUAACUACGUG
RNAcentral lists this ribosomal RNA (502 nucleotides) under uncultured bacterium. Its description in RNAcentral is "partial 16S ribosomal RNA". It matches the Rfam family "Bacterial small subunit ribosomal RNA", at positions 28 to 507 of the family's 1533-position model. The record is from RNAcentral.